UGUUAUUAUGUUUCUGUAGCUGGUCGAAAUUUAAUUUUCAUGUCUGUGCUAGCACAGAAAGAUUUUAAAAUUUAUUUCAAUAAAGACUUUUGUUCUAUUUAUUUAUGAAAUAAAUUGGUGCAUGAGGUCUUUUAAUUGACAGUCUUUAUCACUUGCAUGUUGAUACGAAUGUGAACCUGAACGAGCAAAUAAUGAGUACCGUAAAUCAAAAGAGAUCCAGAGAUGAAAUUAACCAAAAAUACUUGUGGCACCAUAGACUAGACC
Molecule: long non-coding RNA, 264 nt
Filed under: Elaeis guineensis (African oil palm)
Lineage: Eukaryota; Viridiplantae; Streptophyta; Magnoliopsida; Arecales; Arecaceae
Description: long non-coding RNA (EGUI_LNC044935)
Source: RNAcentral